GGGUUGUGAGGUUAAGCGACUAAGCGUACACGGUGGAUGCCCUGGCAGUCAGAGGCGAUGAAGGACGUGCUAAUCUGCGAUAAGCGUCGGUAAGGUGAUAUGAACCGUUAUAACCGGCGAUUUCCGAAUGGGGAAACCCAGUGUGAUUCGUCACACUAUCAUUAACUGAAUCCAUAGGUUAAUGAGGCGAACCGGGGGAACUGAAACAUCUAAGUACCCCGAGGAAAAGAAAUCAACCGAGAUUCCCCCAGUAGCGGCGAGCGAACGGGGAGCAGCCCAGAGCCUGAAUCAGUGUGUGUGUUAGUGGAAGCGUCUGGAAAGGCGCGCGAUACAGGGUGACAGCCCCGUACACAAAAAUGCACAUGCUGUGAGCUCGAUGAGUAGGGCGGGACACGUGGUAUCCUGUCUGAAUAUGGGGGGACCAUCCUCCAAGGCUAAAUACUCCUGACUGACCGAUAGUGAACCAGUACCGUGAGGGAAAGGCGAAAAGAACCCCGGCGAGGGGAGUGAAAAAGAACCUGAAACCGUGUACGUACAAGCAGUGGGAGCACGCUUAGGCGUGUGACUGCGUACCUUUUGUAUAAUGGGUCAGCGACUUAUAUUCUGUAGCAAGGUUAACCGAAUAGGGGAGCCGAAGGGAAACCGAGUCUUAACUGGGCGUUAAGUUGCAGGGUAUAGACCCGAAACCCGGUGAUCUAGCCAUGGGCAGGUUGAAGGUUGGGUAACACUAACUGGAGGACCGAACCGACUAAUGUUGAAAAAUUAGCGGAUGACUUGUGGCUGGGGGUGAAAGGCCAAUCAAACCGGGAGAUAGCUGGUUCUCCCCGAAAGCUAUUUAGGUAGCGCCUCGUGAAUUCAUCUCCGGGGGUAGAGCACUGUUUCGGCAAGGGGGUCAUCCCGACUUACCAACCCGAUGCAAACUGCGAAUACCGGAGAAUGUUAUCACGGGAGACACACGGCGGGUGCUAACGUCCGUCGUGAAGAGGGAAACAACCCAGACCGCCAGCUAAGGUCCCAAAGUCAUGGUUAAGUGGGAAACGAUGUGGGAAGGCCCAGACAGCCAGGAUGUUGGCUUAGAAGCAGCCAUCAUUUAAAGAAAGCGUAAUAGCUCACUGGUCGAGUCGGCCUGCGCGGAAGAUGUAACGGGGCUAAACCAUGCACCGAAGCUGCGGCAGCGACGCUUAUGCGUUGUUGGGUAGGGGAGCGUUCUGUAAGCCUGUGAAGGUGUGCUGUGAGGCAUGCUGGAGGUAUCAGAAGUGCGAAUGCUGACAUAAGUAACGAUAAAGCGGGUGAAAAGCCCGCUCGCCGGAAGACCAAGGGUUCCUGUCCAACGUUAAUCGGGGCAGGGUGAGUCGACCCCUAAGGCGAGGCCGAAAGGCGUAGUCGAUGGGAAACAGGUUAAUAUUCCUGUACUUGGUGUUACUGCGAAGGGGGGACGGAGAAGGCUAUGUUGGCCGGGCGACGGUUGUCCCGGUUUAAGCGUGUAGGCUGGUUUUCCAGGCAAAUCCGGAAAAUCAAGGCUGAGGCGUGAUGACGAGGCACUACGGUGCUGAAGCAACAAAUGCCCUGCUUCCAGGAAAAGCCUCUAAGCAUCAGGUAACAUCAAAUCGUACCCCAAACCGACACAGGUGGUCAGGUAGAGAAUACCAAGGCGCUUGAGAGAACUCGGGUGAAGGAACUAGGCAAAAUGGUGCCGUAACUUCGGGAGAAGGCACGCUGAUAUGUAGGUGAAGCGACUUGCUCGUGGAGCUGAAAUCAGUCGAAGAUACCAGCUGGCUGCAACUGUUUAUUAAAAACACAGCACUGUGCAAACACGAAAGUGGACGUAUACGGUGUGACGCCUGCCCGGUGCCGGAAGGUUAAUUGAUGGGGUCAGCGCAAGCGAAGCUCUUGAUCGAAGCCCCGGUAAACGGCGGCCGUAACUAUAACGGUCCUAAGGUAGCGAAAUUCCUUGUCGGGUAAGUUCCGACCUGCACGAAUGGCGUAAUGAUGGCCAGGCUGUCUCCACCCGAGACUCAGUGAAAUUGAACUCGCUGUGAAGAUGCAGUGUACCCGCGGCAAGACGGAAAGACCCCGUGAACCUUUACUAUAGCUUGACACUGAACAUUGAGCCUUGAUGUGUAGGAUAGGUGGGAGGCUUAGAAGUGUGGACGCCAGUCUGCAUGGAGCCGACCUUGAAAUACCACCCUUUAAUGUUUGAUGUUCUAACGUUGACCCGUAAUCCGGGUUGCGGACAGUGUCUGGUGGGUAGUUUGACUGGGGCGGUCUCCUCCUAAAGAGUAACGGAGGAGCACGAAGGUUGGCUAAUCCUGGUCGGACAUCAGGAGGUUAGUGCAAUGGCAUAAGCCAGCUUGACUGCGAGCGUGACGGCGCGAGCAGGUGCGAAAGCAGGUCAUAGUGAUCCGGUGGUUCUGAAUGGAAGGGCCAUCGCUCAACGGAUAAAAGGUACUCCGGGGAUAACAGGCUGAUACCGCCCAAGAGUUCAUAUCGACGGCGGUGUUUGGCACCUCGAUGUCGGCUCAUCACAUCCUGGGGCUGAAGUAGGUCCCAAGGGUAUGGCUGUUCGCCAUUUAAAGUGGUACGCGAGCUGGGUUUAGAACGUCGUGAGACAGUUCGGUCCCUAUCUGCCGUGGGCGCUGGAGAACUGAGGGGGGCUGCUCCUAGUACGAGAGGACCGGAGUGGACGCAUCACUGGUGUUCGGGUUGUCAUGCCAAUGGCACUGCCCGGUAGCUAAAUGCGGAAGAGAUAAGUGCUGAAAGCAUCUAAGCACGAAACUUGCCCCGAGAUGAGUUCUCCCUGACUCCUUGAGAGUCCUGAAGGAACGUUGAAGACGACGACGUUGAUAGGCCGGGUGUGUAAGCGCAGCGAUGCGUUGAGCUAACCGGUACUAAUGAACCGUGAGGCUUAACCUUACAACGCCGAAGGUGUUU
Molecule: ribosomal RNA, 2931 nt
Filed under: Escherichia coli
Lineage: Bacteria; Pseudomonadati; Pseudomonadota; Gammaproteobacteria; Enterobacterales; Enterobacteriaceae
Description: 23S ribosomal RNA
Rfam family: Bacterial large subunit ribosomal RNA
Source: RNAcentral